AGCACUUCUGGUCGCCGGUCCCGGCUGGUUAGGCUGGUUGGCACCCAGGGAGGCCUCCCUCCAGGUCUUGCCCACACCUCUGCACCUCGUUACCUGACCGGCUUCAGGAUCCGCAGCGUGCACCCGCAUUCCGCCCAUACACACAAGAGCUUAGCACCACGGACAGCACCACAGAAGAAACACAGCUUUGGGAGACUUGGACAUCAAGGACAACAUUGUCAAAGAGCAGAUUUAUUAUUUGGGGGCUUUCAGCGAAAACAGAAAAGCCCUAAAGACUUUUCAGUAGGAACAUCACUUAAUCCAACUUAAAGAGACCUAUAUCCUUUAAGUACUUAUGGAAGCAGAAGCGGCACAUAUCAAGACAAUAUUUUCAGACAAGGCGAUGCUGGUUUGAGCAGAUGCAACAAGGGCACCAACGUACAAUUUUUGUGUCUUCAGAUCCACAAGACUGAUAGAAGUUCUACUCUGCCACCACGUAAGAAUCAACAUCUAAUUUACAGUACUAUUUUAAUUUUCCCAGUUGUAUAAAAGCAUGUCCUUUAUAGCUGUUUUAAAAUCCAUCACUCAAUCAGGUUUCAUGUACUUUGUUGCUAUGCUUCUUUAGUCUCUUUUAAACCAGAACAUUCUCCCUGCCUUGUUAUGACAUUUUUGAUGCUUUUUGAAUUUGUCAUAUAUGAUGCUCCAAAAAUGCAAAUGAGCUUGGUGUGUAUGAGAAAUUGAAAGGAGGUCAGUAUAUCAGGUUUUUCUUGUACCACAUGAUAUCCUUUCAGCCCUACCUCUUCAUCCAGCCAUUACUAAGUUGACCAGGCCUAGAGAGUUUUUCACUAGCUUCAUGCAGGUGCACACUGACAGUGCCUUUCCUUAGUAUCUACCUUUCCAGUACCUUCCUCUUUCCAGCACUGGGCUUCUUUGAGAUGGUGGACUACGACCCUUGCAGAAAUACUCUCAGCAGCCAUGCAUCUGCAAACCAAAAUUGUGGGAGACUUAAUGCCAAUAGGAUGACUUUUUAACAACUGGGGAUGGGGGCAGAUGGAUAAAUACUUCCUUUCAUCUUCUGGGCACACAGUACUAAGAAACAUUUCGUAUUUGGUAGAGAAGGGUGGAAACCAACUUUAGGCCAGAAAAAGUCAUAGAAAGAAGCUGGAUCCUUAUUAUGAGAACCUAUAUCUCUUAUUGGGCAGAUUAUAAUAAAGAUCCAUUGCUGAUAAGUGAUGUGGUGAUUACCCAUGGCAUACUUAGUAUCACAAUUACUAAGAAUAGUCACCUGUGCUUUAUGGGCAGAAAGUGCUGAGAGAAGGUGAAAGACUCCAGUAGCUAUAGCACUAGAAUGGUAGGGGUAUGAUGGUAAUCAUAGGAUUGUGGAAGUACUUGUUUUGGUUUUAACUGCAUUGGAAUUCUUUUUUAAAAAAGAAAAAAGAAUGAAAGAAAGAAGGAAAGAAAAAGAGGGACACAUUAAUGCCCACCAACUACCAAUUCAAGGCACAUUUGGAACACUAGAUGUUCCUGGUGAUAGCAUUUAAAGAAACCCUCACAUCCUGCAAGCACAGGGAAGAGAGUGCUGAAACUCAUAUGGAGGAUCUGAUUUCAAAAAACAUGGCAUACCUGCAAAGGAAAAUGACUGCAUGGUCCCAACAACUCCCAGAUGUCAAAGUUAAUGUUGUGAUGGUGAAACUACAGUAAUCAGAAUACACUGAUAUUGGCUUAAAAACAAACUUAUAGACCAUUGGAACAGAAUUGAGAGUUCAGAAAUAAACCUAAACAUCCGCUGUAAAUUGAUUUCAGCAAGGGUACCAAGACCAUUCAGUGUGGGAAGGAAUUGUCUCUUGAAUAAAUGAUUUUUGGUUUUGUUGGGUUUUUUUUGUUUGUUUUUAAGCUUUAUUUUAAGCUUUAUGUUCAGGGGUACAUGUGCAGGAUGUGCAAGCUUGUUAUACAGGUAAACCUGUCAUGGAGUUUUG
This is a long non-coding RNA of Piliocolobus tephrosceles (Ugandan red Colobus), 1955 nucleotides long. RefSeq lists it as uncharacterized. The transcript is spliced from 4 exons. The record is from RefSeq and is a predicted model, not a curated record. NCBI's taxonomy places the organism in Eukaryota, Metazoa, Chordata, Mammalia, Primates, Cercopithecidae.